CGCCCGGGCGGCUCCGUAAAAAAAAAAAAAAAAAAAAGCAGCAGUGAUCUCGGUGUGACAGCUCAGAGCUGUCCACGUCAACACACCGAGCGAGCACGGCGGCGGCGGCGGCAGCAGCAGCGAUGGACUCCACGUCUCUGGAACCUUCCCUCUACACAGUGAAAGCUGUUUUCAUACUUGACAACGAUGGCAACAGACUGCUGUCCAAGUACUAUGACCCUGAGCUUUACCCCUCCAUGAAGGAGCAGAAGAACUUUGAGAAGAAUGUCUUCAACAAGACACACAAAGCAGACAAUGAGAUAGCUUUUCUGGAGGGCAUGACCAUUGUCUAUAAGAGCAGUAUAGACCUCUUCUUCUACGUGGUGGGAAGUGCUCAGGAGAACGAGCUGAUGCUGAUGUCAGUGCUGAACUGCCUGUUUGAGUCCCUCAGUCAGAUCCUCAGGAAAAAUGUGGAGCGUAGAUGUUUACUGGACAACAUGGAGGGAGUGUUCCUGAUUGUGGAUGAAAUCAUCGAUGGAGGGGUGAUUCUGGAGAGUGACCCCCAGCAGGUGCUACAGAAGGUCAACUACAAGCUAAUGUCAGAGCCAGCCUAUGGCUUCGUCCUGUUUGAUUACAUCACUGGUAACCUAGAGGGACAAACAGACAGGAGCCAGCCGCUGUAGACAACAAGACAGACAGACAAGAGGGUGGAUGAAAACCCAUUAUCUGAGCAGAGCGUGGCCCAGGUUCUGCAGUCGGCCAAGGAGCAGAUCAAAUGGUCCAUACUGAAAUGACUCAGACCAGAUGAAUUUAGAAUUCUCAAGAGAGAGUUGUUUCUAGUCCCAAAGCUAUUUUUUAUAGUAACACACUAAAGGGAAGGGCGGCACAUGCCUAUUGAGAAAUGGGCUGCUUUAUACAGCAAUUAAUUUGCCAGUAAUAGGAUUUAGUUUCUAUGUGUGAUGGCAUUUUGUUACAUUAUAUUUGACAUGUAAUUAAUUUAUUUGCUUUGAGAGUGAAGGUUGUCCAUUUUCAUAUAGAUAUAUCAUUCAAGAGGCUAAGUGACAACAGAAAAUGAAAGGAAAAGUGAGACUCCAGUCUCUUUUGUAUGAGACUGGAAAGGUACUGAACGGAUCAAUGAAAAUACUGGAAACCUGAUUAGCAAUCACUGAUCUGUUGGUUUUAUUUUGGUGGAGCAGGAUCUUCUACUCACUCACUCAAAGCGGAGUAGGAUUUACUGUUGUUCUUUUUUGCUAAUUGUUGGUGUGGACAAUAUUAAAAAGAUAAUGUUUUAUACA
Molecule: RNA transcript, 1274 nt
Organism: Acanthopagrus latus (yellowfin seabream)
Lineage: Eukaryota; Metazoa; Chordata; Actinopteri; Spariformes; Sparidae
Gene: copz2
Gene name: COPI coat complex subunit zeta 2
Exons: 10
Source: RefSeq, a predicted model, not a curated record